RNAcentral lists this long non-coding RNA (7850 nucleotides) under Brassica napus (rape). Its description in RNAcentral is "long non-coding RNA (BNAP_LNC022444)". The record is from RNAcentral. Lineage: Eukaryota; Viridiplantae; Streptophyta; Magnoliopsida; Brassicales; Brassicaceae.
UAAGGAGAUCUUAGAACGCUACUCACGAACCCUGUCGUCUCGUAACGGUAGUUGUUGUAGAGUCCAACUCCGUUGAUGUAACCAGAGGAAGGACUCUUCCCAUUCUCAUUAGACAGAGAAGGAUUGUAAUUCAACUGGUUCGGGAGGUUCUGGUAAUGGUAUUGGAUCUGGUUACCGAGGCUUAAAGAAAGUCCUCCACCGUGGAAGCUUAGAUCGUUGCUUGAAACCGUUACGCUUCCGUUGAGACCUGCGCUUGUUGUUGGUGGGAUAAAAAGCAUCUCGUCGCAGAUUCUCCUUCUCCCAAUCCCUUGUAAAUCAGCAGAUAUGUGGAGCAAAGUUUGAGAAGUCUUCUGUUGCCAACUUCGAGCGCCAAAUCGCUGCUGUUCUUGCAUGUGGCCAAUUAAUUAUCCGCUUGAGAAAUUCACGGCUAAAGCUCAUACUAAUCUUGAGGUAUGGGAAGAGUUAGAUAUUAGGCCACGAGCAGCAGUCUUCAAGAUAGUCUACAAUUUAUUAUUUUUCAAAAGAGAGAGAAAGAGAGUGUGAGAGCACCUUUAAAGAAGGUCUUUCAUCAAGUUUCUAACAUAUUAAAGCUCCGAAUGGUGAUUGCGGUUUAAGCGGUGCGGGACAAGCGGUUCAACUGCGGUACGGUUUUAAUAGUUAUAAAAUUGUAUAGAUAUAUAGUAUAUGUAUAAAUUUUUGUUACUGUUAACUGCGAGGCGGGACGAGAUGAUGGUCACCAUUCGAAGCCUACAUAACAAAAAGUAAUUAUAGAAAAGGAAAAAGAUAAGGAUUUCAAGAGGGUCUGUCUCGUGGGCAAGAGACGAUGGACCAAUUCUUAGGUACCAUCUUUCCGGCUGUUGCUCUUUCGUUAGCUAAGAAUUUUUUUUGUUUCAAAGUUUCAUAACAAAAGUAAUAUAUAUCACUAUAAAACAAAGUAAGGGACGAUUCUAAUAUUUUGAUCACUAAUGAUGCUCUAAGAAUCUCUCAAACAGAGAUCCCUUCAAUGCUUUUUAUCUCCAAAUAACUAAUACUUUAUAUAUAUAUAUAUUAUAUUAAAAUAUGGGGUGGAUUUCAGUAUGUGAUUUAUCCGGUUACCAACAAUAAACGCAUCACACCGGACCUGUCACGUAUGAAAAAAAGAAGCAAAUUUAAGUUUAGAUGGGCUAAACUGCCAAAAAACAUGGUGGGAAAACAAUCACUGCCAUUUACUCUGCAAAGGUUGUUGACCAGAUGAGAGUUCUCGCCCAGGUUUGUUUGUAAUAGACCCUCUGCGAUUUGGGCCCUAUCAUAAGUGAUAGAAGUCGAAUAGAAGACCCAUUUCUUAGAUACUAUAGUAGAUUAUAUAUAUAUAUAUAUAUAUAUAUAAUAUUCUAGACCAUGCAAUUAUACGUACAUCUAACAUUAUAAAUUCUAACCAUCGUUAUUAAUUAUAAACCUUAUACAAUCAGGCAACUUAUAUAUUCAUUUUGAAUUAGACACAUGUACAAUACAAAUAAUAUAUAUAGUGUUAGGGUUUAUGUUACUAUUAUUAGCGCUAACAUCUAAAAAUAAUAUUGGUCAUGUCACUUUAGAUAUAUAUAUAAUAUUGACAGAAAUAGUAUAAUGUUUGAUAAAGAUACAUGGUCACAAGAUUACUUAAUGACUUUUCAAGGGAAAUAUAUUUACAUAUAUUCUCUUGGUCAAUUAGGCUAUAUAUAUCUCUAAAUUACUCUGUAUACUUUUGGAAUCAAUAUCCCAUAUAAUGAUAUUCGUGCCACAUUUCUAGUGCUCUCUCCGUAUCACUUUAAAUGAUGUUUAAGGAUUUUAUUUUAUUUCAUAAUAAGUGAUAUUUUCACAUUUCUAGAUAAAAUUUAAAGUUAUUUGAAAUUUGUGAUCAAUUAUACUCCUAAAAUACUGCAUUUUUAUUGGUUUAAUUAAUUUUAUUUAAUGUUAGUUUAUGUAAGAAAGAUAAAUUGCAUAAAAUUUUGUAUUUUCUUAAUCUUUGUGCAAAAACUUUAAACACAUUUAAAAUGAUACAGAGAGAGUACUAUAUAUUAUCAAAGAUUUAUUUUGUAUGGUGUUUAAUUGCAAUGGUGAUAUUGAAUGAGAUAAGGUGACAAACAAAUCGCCCUAAAUGAUCGUCAUGCACCAAAGCAAUAUGUUGUAUUUCUUCCGUUCCAAAAUAGGUGAUGUUUUGAAGAGUUUCCGAUGAUUCAAAAUAGAUGAUUUUUUAAUAUUUUAAUAUUAAUUUUAUUUUUAUUGAAUAUUAUGUGACCAAUAAUGUUUUAUAGUUCUUUUGAUAAUUGGUUGAAUUAGUUUUUAUUUAUAUUUUAAUAAUAUUUUUAGAUAAAAAUGUAUAUUUUAAUUUUCGUACAUUGAACUAAAACAUCAAUUAUUUUGAAAUUGAAAGAAUAUUAACUUUUACAAAUCAACCAAGCAAAUAGCAUAACUGGUCAUUGAUGAAAUGAUCAAAGUCCAAAAAAACGUUUUUUUAUUUGAAAACCCAUUUGCGUUCAUUGAAUCCAUGUAUCAUGUUGAUCAGCGAUCUUGUCCUUAUUUGCUUGCUGCAGAUUAUUAAAUUAAUAUAUUCUGUGAAGAGGAAUAAGAAAUUGAGGCAAGUAGAUGUUCGUGACUCUGACUUAGCGUAAGAAUAAAAUUAUACUUCAAGGUAAUAAUAUUAUGAGGAGUAUACUUCUCUCUCGCCACCGCAAUUUAUUAUCUUGAUUUUCCACCAUCGCUUUUUUUAAACGAUCCGAAUAACACACGUACGAAAGGUUGAUUGGAAUCGAUUCUUUAGAUAGUUGCACCAUUUCACUUCUUCAUUUUAUUUUUGGCAAUAAACUUCAUUUAUUCACGAUUAUAUAUAUAUAUUCCCGUUAACACUAGCUAUUGGAUCACAUGCGCGUUCGUAUGUUCGUUUGCGCAACUAUACAAGUAUGAAAGACACAUUUUAAGUGAAACAUCUUUUAGAAAAAUCGGCUAAAAUCCACUUCAAAUAAAUACCUUGUACUAUUAAAAUCUAAAUAACCUAUCUUACAUAUUUUAUUUUGACAGAUUUUUUAAUGCUAGUUAAUUAUAUUAUUAUAAAUUAUAUAAAAUAUUACAAAUUUUGAAAUGAUUUGCAAAAUUUACGCAUGGCAACACUCAUAUACAUUAUGCUAAAAUUCGAUAAAUUUUUCUUCUUAAUCUGUAUAAUUUUUUUUUUUUUCUGGAGUUUAAAACAUAGACUUCCUAAUACAAAAGCAUUAAUAUUUUUUAGUCAAACCAUUACACUGAUCGAGCUCUCACAAGCAGAUUCAUCUUAUUCCCAAUAUCUUCUCAUCAAAACUUUACAUAAGACGCACUGAUGUAUAUGAAACCAUUGUUUCAAAUACGAGUUCUGAAGACCAACUUUUUCCAGCAGGACAGGAUCAAAAGGAUUCUUCUUGUCAUUGAAGAUGUUUGACACGUACGUAUAAUCAAAAGUAUUCUUCUUGGUCAAUAGAGAUGUUUUAGAAGCAAAUAUCCGAUUUUGACAGGUUUUUGGGAUUAAUUGGGAUUUCAGUAUGUGAUUUAUCCGGUUACCAACAAUAAACACAUUACACCGGACCUGUCACGUAUGAAAAAAAAAAGAAGCAAAUUUAAGUUUAGAUGGGCUAAACUGCCAAAAAACAUGGUGGGAAAACAAUCACUGCCAUUUACUCUGCAAAGGUUGUUGACCAGAUGAGAGUUCUCGCCCAGGUUUGUUUGUAAUAGACCCUCUGCGAUUUGGGCCCUAUCAUAAGUGAUAGAAGUCGAAUAGAAGACCCAUUUCUUAGAUACUAUAGUAGAUAUGACAAUUAAUAGUCACAUCUUUUGUAAUAAAAGUUACAAAACAACACUAGACAUAAAUUUAUUGUCUAACUGGGAGUCUUGGAUGAAGGGAUGGACAUGAUUAUUUGAUAUUUGGCUUAUAUUCUAUGGUUGCCCCGUACUUGCUUCGAAAAUCAAGUAUUUAACAUUCUCAAGUUAAGUAAUAAAUCAACAAUUUUUUUACUACUUUUAAGUCCGAAUCAAAUCGAGUAGCAAAUACUUAAAAAUUAACAAGUACUUACCCGUUCUCAGUCCUAACAAGUAGACUAAGUAUUUGCUAAUUUUCAGGUACUUGUUACUUGGCUUAGUUCGUUCAAGUAGUUUGAUUUAGUACUUGUAUUUGGCUUGUUCGAUUUCAUUUGUUUUCUUGGAUCUUCCUAUCUAGGGUUAUAUUCAUUAUAAAUGUAUAAACAGAGCUUGCUAGGUUUUGUUAUACGUACUUGGCUUGUUGCGAGAGGGAUCUUGAGUUGGUGUCUAUGACCAUGUUCUAUCCUGUAACCGAUAAGCAUUUUCUUUACUGAAAUGCUAGCGUAUUCUCAAAGAGAUAGAUGGUCUUUUGAUAGCGAACAGUACGUAGGUUCUAGCAUCCCUUUUCUUUGUAGAGCUUGCUCAAAGUUUCUAACGGAGAGGUCUUCUGUCGCCAACUUCGAGCUCCCAAUCGCUGCUGUUCUUUCCUGUGGCCAUGUUUACCACACAGAGUGCUUAGAGACCAUGACUAGAUAGAGAAGUACUAUUGAGGAAAAACAGGUUGCAAAAAUAACAAGGAAAGCCUUAAAGGCAAAGGCAAAGCACUACAGAAGAUAUAAAAUCCGUGUGGUGGAGUGGAUAGUUACAGAGAGAGUGAAUGCAAUGAGUUUAUGUUCCAGACGACAGAAAGAGAAGCUCUAAAGAUGGAUCCUAGUUGAAGUAGGAAAGGCUCAUCUAAGUUGUCUUGAAAUGGCAUUUCGCUUCUAUCAGCUCCAAGUUGAGUAAAGCCUCGUCCAAAGACUCUGCUUUGAUUAAAGGGUUUUGGUCAAGACACUUUCAUUAUAACAUUUGAGGCAUGACACGUGUCGUCGUAACAAUGAUUCUACAGGGUAGUUUUGGAAAAAAAGUUGGUUCAUCUAAAUAUAAACUAUAGUUUUCAUUAAACUAACCAUAAAUUAAACUAACCAUAAAAUCUCUUAUUAAUCUAAAAAUGUUAUUUUCCAUUCUUUCCUUAAAUAAAACUUACGAAUUACCUAAUAUGAUUAAAAUAUAUAUGACAAUUAAUAAUUGUCAAUAAUAAAUAUUUUUUAACAAUUUAUAUACCCUUUAUCAUUUUUUGUUUAAUUUUUUUGUUAUUAAAAUAAGCUACACAAUUACAUUAACUAUUUAAUAAAAAAAAUUAAUUUUUCGCAUAUGUUGUAUUUUGAAUUUUUAAAAAUGAGUAUAAAUUACUAAAAUGUUAAAAAUCUGACAUAAACUUUUGUAAUCAAUGAUUUAAAUUUUCUGCUAUGAUAAAAUACAAAUAAUUAUAAAACUAGGUGAGUAAGAAAUCUUAUUUAAUAGGUGUUAUAUUAAUAUAUAUAUAUAUAUAUCAUUUAAAUUAAACGAUAUACAAUAUAACACAUACUUAUAUUUUGAUAUUUGCAUUAAACAAAUAUUAAAAAUUUAAUUUUAAAAUUUUAAAAUAUGCAUUGAAUUUUUAAAAAUGAUUAUAUGUUACUAAAACAAUUAAAAUCAUAUAAUAUAUCUAUGUUAAUAUCAUUUAAAUUUAAUUAUAUAUCAUAAACAAUAGAUAAAAUUGAUUGUUUUAUUUAUUUACCAGAAAAUGAUCGUUAAUAAACAAGAGUGAUCGUUUGAUUUAUAUACAUAAUAGGUAUUGAUUCUUCAAUUAUUCAACAUAUAUUUAUUUUUUAUUAUUUUAUAUGUAUAAAAUAUAAAAUAAAUAAUCAUACAUAAAUAUAAUUUUUAUAUAAAAUGUUUAUCCUUGAUCUUAACCUAGGUAAGAUUUGAAAUGGUUUCAUGAUAACCGGUAAUACACAUUUCAGGGACUUAACCAAACAUCUCACCUGUGAUGACCCCUCUAUCUGGAACAGAAAAACACAAGUUACUUAGGAAAAGCUUUGUAGAAACAAAAACAACAGAUAUUGAGCUUCAUCUUUCAAGUUCUGUAAUCUCCAUUACAUGCCGUUUCUUUGAUCUAGAUGAUCUCCAUGUUUACAACAUGGAUGGAACAUGCUCAGAAAAACAAUUGACAACAGAUUCACACUUGUAGCUGUAACAAAAAAAAAAUUAAAGAAAAAUCUUUUCACACUUGAGGAUUAUAUUUAUACACAAAACAAUACAAUAUUGGCUUACCAAAGUGUAGCUCAGUAUCAUAUACAAACCUGAAGACUAAUGCCACCACCAGGAAAUAUUACAGAUAUAUAUAUAUUGUGUAUCCCCCUAUCUAUAAGAAUGCAAAAAGCGCAUCUUUCUUGCGCUUCAAGAAUCAUUACUCCCCAAUCCAAUCACUGGCAUUGCCAGUUCUUGAGCUUAUCAAAAGCUCAGAAACGUUUUCAGACAACAAAGUCGUGUAAUUGAUGGGGAUUAGAGAAUCUACCAUCUUGCUGGUUUCCAAGGCCAAUGUAGCGGUUGUAAUCAUCCACACCAAACCCUUGAUGAUAGUUCAUCAAGCUGUCGUAAUCUCCACUAGUAGAACGGUCUGCAUCAGAUGUAUACGGGACGUUGUUGUUUCCAUGACUCUGUUGUUGCGAAGAAGAAGAGUCUUCAUGUUUGAGCUGAGAUGUUUCCUUCAUUUUGUUGUUGUCUUUGUCUUGAUUAGAGUUAGAGAGUAACUCUGAUGAUGAAUCUCCAAACUCUUCUUUAUACAUCUCCUCAAUCAUCGGUUUCCAUAGCCGAACUCUCGCGUUAAUAAACCAGUUAGCAACCUAAACAAUGUAGGACAACAUUUUUCAAGAGCCAGAGGAACCACUCAGCAACAACAAAAGUGAGAUCACGACAAGACCACUAGGAAAGUGGAAACAGACGAGUACUUGACCGUCAUAUCUCUCUUUUUUUGUUUUACCUGGUUUUUCGAUAGUCCUGUCUGUUUAGCAAGCAUGAUCUUCUCUGACUCCUUAGGAUAACUACAAAACAUUUGAAAAUGGUUAUGAACUAAGCAAAGAGAGAAAGUGGUCACUUUAAUGUAAACACUUACGGAUGAAGGAAAUGCUCAAAGAGCCAAGCGCGGAGUAUAGAGACAGAGUUUUCAGGUAAGCCUCUUUGCGGUCUCCAAGAAGGUCUAACCAUUCCAAGCUGUUGAUGCAAAGCUCUCUGUUGUCUCAGCCUCUGAUCUAAAUACCUAAGACGCGGUAUCCUCUCUCCUUGCUCUUCACAAGACUCCUUGUCCUCCCCAAGCUUCCCUCUAAUCACCUGAACCUGCUCUUUUAACGCAUCCCUUAAGCAGCGGAAAUGGCGAGAGAUUCUGUUCAGAGCCACUGAUGUGUAAGGCUUAGCUGCUCCGAGACCAGCUACCAUCUCGAAAGAGGAAGCUAAUGCUUCCAUCUGGUGGUGGUAUUGGUUGUACCUUUGGUCUACUUCAUUGACCAUUGUUAAGAGCUUGUUCUUCUUGCUCUGAAGCUCUUGACGUUCUGAAGAAGAUAACUCCUCAUUGUCUGUGUUGUUUUCGCUAGACCCAUUGGUAAAGUCUUGACCUUUGUCGUUGUUGUUCUUGGUCUUCUUGUUACUAUCUUUCCUGACGCUAACAACUUCAUCUAGCAAUAGCUGUGUUGGUUUAAGGUAAGGAGAUCUUAGAACGCUACUCACGAACCCUGUCGUCUCGUAACGGUAGUUGUUGUAGAGUCCAACUCCGUUGAUGUAACCAGAGGAAGGACUCUUCCCAUUCUCAUUAGACAGAGAAGGAUUGUAAUUCAACUGGUUCGGGAGGUUCUGGUAAUGGUAUUGGAUCUGGUUACCGAGGCUUAAAGAAAGUCCUCCACCGUGGAAGCUUAGAUCGUUGCUUGAAACCGUUACGCUUCCGUUAAGACCAGCGCUUGUUGUUGGUGGGAUAAAAAGCAUCUCGUUUUGAACACCGC